AGCCGGCUGACACGUCCCAAAUAGGACGAAACGUGCGUCCUAUAU
This is a non-coding RNA of Schistosoma haematobium, 45 nucleotides long. NCBI's taxonomy places the organism in Eukaryota, Metazoa, Platyhelminthes, Trematoda, Strigeidida, Schistosomatidae. The record is from Rfam.